RNAcentral lists this unclassified non-coding RNA (277 nucleotides) under plant metagenome. Its description in RNAcentral is "partial contains small subunit ribosomal RNA, internal transcribed spacer 1, and 5.8S ribosomal RNA". The stretch from base 229 to 277 matches the Rfam family "5.8S ribosomal RNA", at positions 1 to 49 of the family's 154-position model. The record is from RNAcentral.
UUUCCGUAGGUGAACCUGCGGAAGGAUCAUUAUCGUAAAACCGAGGUGCGAGGGCUGUCGCUGACCUUUUCGGUCGUGCACGCCCGAGCGCUCUCACACAAUCCACCUCGCCCCUUGUGCACCACCGCGUGGGUCCCUUUCUGGCUCGUCCGGAGGGGGGCUCGCGUUUUCACACAAACUUGAAGUAGUGUAGAAUGUCCUUUUUUUGCGAUAACACGCAAUCAAUACAACUUUCAACAACGGAUCUCUUGGCUCUCGAAUCGAUGAAGAACGCAGC